GACGAACGCUGGCGGCGUGCUUAACACAUGCAAGUCGAACGGAAAGGCCCUGCUUUUGUGGUGUGCUCGAGUGGCGAACGGGUGAGUAACACGUGAGUAACCUGCCCUUGACUUUGGGAUAACUUCAGGAAACUGGGGCUAAUACCGGAUAGGAGCUCCUGCUGCAUGGUGGGGGGUGGAAAGUUUCGGCGGGUGGGGAUGGACUCGCGGCUUAUCAGCUUGUUGGUGGGGUAGUGGCUUACCAAGGCUUUGACGGGUAGCCGGCAUGAGAGGGUGACCGGACACAUUGGGACUGAGAUACGGACCAGACUCCUACGGGAGGCAGCAGUGGGGAAUAUUGCACAAUGGGCGGAAGCCUGAUGCAGAAACGCCGCGUGCGGGAUGACGGCCUUCGGAGUGUAAACCGCUUUCGCCUGUGACGAAGCGUGAGUGACGGUAAUGGGUAAAGAAGCACCGGCUAACUACGUG
RNAcentral lists this ribosomal RNA (468 nucleotides) under uncultured bacterium. RNAcentral's name for it is "partial 16S ribosomal RNA". It matches the Rfam family "Bacterial small subunit ribosomal RNA", at positions 28 to 507 of the family's 1533-position model. The record is from RNAcentral.